RNAcentral lists this ribosomal RNA (497 nucleotides) under uncultured bacterium. Its description in RNAcentral is "partial 16S ribosomal RNA". It matches the Rfam family "Bacterial small subunit ribosomal RNA", at positions 28 to 507 of the family's 1533-position model. The record is from RNAcentral.
GAUGAACGCUGGCGGCGUGCCUAAUACAUGCAAGUCGAGCGAACAGAUGAGGAGCUUGCUCCUCUGACGUUAGCGGCGGACGGGUGAGUAACACGUGGAUAACCUACCUAUAAGACUGGGAUAACUUCGGGAAACCGGAGCUAAUACCGGAUAAUAUAUUGAACCGCAUGGUUCAAUAGUGAAAGACGGUUUUGCUGUCACUUAUAGAUGGAUCCGCGCCGCAUUAGCUAGUUGGUAAGGUAACGGCUUACCAAGGCAACGAUGCGUAGCCGACCUGAGAGGGUGAUCGGCCACACUGGAACUGGGCCACGGUCCAGACUCCUACGGGAGGCAGCAGUAGGGAAUCUUCCGCAAUGGGCGAAAGCCUGACGGAGCAACGCCGCGUGAGUGAUGAAGGUCUUCGGAUCGUAAAACUCUGUUAUUAGGGAAGAACAAAUGUGUAAGUAACUAUGCACGUCUUGACGGUACCUAAUCAGAAAGCCACGGCUAACUACGUG